This 71-nucleotide transfer RNA is filed under the name Apis laboriosa (Himalayan honeybee). Its description in RNAcentral is "tRNA-Gly". The record is from RNAcentral. Lineage: Eukaryota; Metazoa; Arthropoda; Insecta; Hymenoptera; Apidae.
AUAUAUAUAGUAUAACCAACUAUUACAUUUAAUUUCCAAUUAAAAAAUUUAAUAAUUAUUUAAUAUAUAUA